ACCUGGCUGGCUCAGUGAGUAGAGCAUGUGACUCUUGAUCUCAAGGUCAUGAGUUCAAGCCUCAUGUUGGGCA
This 73-nucleotide transfer RNA is filed under the name Ailuropoda melanoleuca (giant panda). It matches the Rfam family "tRNA". Rfam says of the family: Transfer RNA (tRNA) molecules are approximately 80 nucleotides in length. Their secondary structure includes four short double-helical elements and three loops (D, anti-codon, and T loops). Lineage: Eukaryota; Metazoa; Chordata; Mammalia; Carnivora; Ursidae. The record is from Rfam by way of RNAcentral.